Molecule: ribosomal RNA, 559 nt
Filed under: Bifidobacterium adolescentis
Lineage: Bacteria; Bacillati; Actinomycetota; Actinomycetes; Bifidobacteriales; Bifidobacteriaceae
Description: bacterial SSU rRNA
Rfam family: Bacterial small subunit ribosomal RNA
Source: RNAcentral
UCUCCUGGAAACGGGUGGUAAUGCCGGAUGCUCCAGUUGGAUGCAUGUCCUUCUGGGAAAGAUUCAUCGGUAUGGGAUGGGGUCGCGUCCUAUCAGCUUGAUGGCGGGGUAACGGCCCACCAUGGCUUCGACGGGUAGCCGGCCUGAGAGGGCGACCGGCCACAUUGGGACUGAGAUACGGCCCAGACUCCUACGGGAGGCAGCAGUGGGGAAUAUUGCACAAUGGGCGCAAGCCUGAUGCAGCGACGCCGCGUGCGGGAUGACGGCCUUCGGGUUGUAAACCGCUUUUGACUGGGAGCAAGCCCUUCGGGGUGAGUGUACCUUUCGAAUAAGCACCGGCUAACUACGUGCCAGCAGCCGCGGUAAUACGUAGGGUGCAAGCGUUAUCCGGAAUUAUUGGGCGUAAAGGGCUCGUAGGCGGUUCGUCGCGUCCGGUGUGAAAGUCCAUCGCUUAACGGUGGAUCCGCGCCGGGUACGGGCGGGCUUGAGUGCGGUAGGGGAGACUGGAAUUCCCGGUGUAACGGUGGAAUGUGUAGAUAUCGGAAAAGAACAGCACCCC